AGCGAACGCUGGCGGCAGGCCUAACACAUGCAAGUCGAACGAACCUUUCGGGGUUAGUGGCGGACGGGUGAGUAACACGUGGGAACGUGCCUUUAGGUUCGGUAUAACUCAGGAAAACUUGUGCUAAUACCGAAUGUGCCCUUCGGGGGAAAGAUUAAUCGCCUUUAGAGCGGCCCGCGUCUGAUUAGCUAGUUGGUUGAGGUAAUGGCUCACCAAGGCGACGAUCAGUAGCUGGUCUGAGAGGAUGAUCAGCCACAUUGGGACUGAGACACGGCCCAAACUCCUACGGGAGGCAGCAGUGGGGAAUCUUGCGCAAUGGGCGAAAGCCUGACGCAGCCAUGCCGCGUGAAUGAUGAAGGUCUUAGGAUUGUAAAAUUCUUUCACCGGGGACGAUAAUGACGGUACCCGGAGAAGAAGCCCCGGCUAACUUCGUG
Molecule: ribosomal RNA, 434 nt
Filed under: uncultured bacterium
Lineage: Bacteria
Description: partial 16S ribosomal RNA
Rfam family: Bacterial small subunit ribosomal RNA
Source: RNAcentral